UGGGGAAUAUUGCACAAUGGGCGCAAGCCUGAUGCAGCCAUGCCGCGUGUAUGAAGAAGGCCUUCGGGUUGUAAAGUACUUUCAGCGGGGAGGAAGGGAGUAAAGUUAAUACCUUUGCUCAUUGACGUUACCCGCAGAAGAAGCACCGGCUAACUCCGUGCCAGCAGCCUCGGUAAUACGGAGGGUGCAAGCGUUAAUCGGAAUUACUGGGCGUAAAGCGCACGCAGGCGGUUUGUUAAGUCAGAUGUGAAAUCCCCGGGCUCAACCUGGGAGCUGCAUCUGAUACUGGCAAGCUUGAGUCUCGUAGAGGGGGGUAGAAUUCCAGGUGUAGCGGUGAAAUGCGUAGAGAUCUGGAGGAAUACCGGUGGCGAAGGCGGCCCCCUGGACGAAGACUGACGCUCAGGUGCGAAAGCGUGGGGAGCAAACAGG
RNAcentral lists this ribosomal RNA (429 nucleotides) under Chloroflexota bacterium. RNAcentral describes it as "Chloroflexi bacterium partial 16S ribosomal RNA". It matches the Rfam family "Bacterial small subunit ribosomal RNA", at positions 355 to 776 of the family's 1533-position model. Lineage: Bacteria; Bacillati; Chloroflexota. The record is from RNAcentral.